Molecule: transfer RNA, 66 nt
Filed under: Olethreutes sp. 2019HN00063
Lineage: Eukaryota; Metazoa; Arthropoda; Insecta; Lepidoptera; Tortricidae
Description: tRNA-Val
Source: RNAcentral
CAAAUUAGAGCUUGAAUAAAGCAUUUCAUUUACAUUGAAGAGAUAAUAAAUAUUUAUUUAAUUUGG